RNAcentral lists this ribosomal RNA (253 nucleotides) under uncultured bacterium. Its description in RNAcentral is "partial 16S ribosomal RNA". It matches the Rfam family "Bacterial small subunit ribosomal RNA", at positions 524 to 776 of the family's 1533-position model. The record is from RNAcentral.
UACGAAGGGGGCUAGCGUUGCUCGGAAUCACUGGGCGUAAAGCGCACGUAGGCGGCUCUUUAAGUCAGGGGUGAAAUCCCGGAGCUCAACUCCGGAACUGCCUUUGAUACUGCGGAUCUUGAGUUCGAGAGAGGUGAGUGGAACUGCGAGUGUAGAGGUGAAAUUCGUAGAUAUUCGCAAGAACACCAGUGGCGAAGGCGGCUCACUGGCUCGAUACUGACGCUGAGGUGCGAAAGCGUGGGGAGCAAACAGG